AGCGAACGCUGGCGGCAGGCCUAACACAUGCAAGUCGAACGGACCCUUCGGGGUUAGUGGCGGACGGGUGAGUAACACGUGGGAACGUGCCUUUAGGUUCGGAAUAGCUCCUGGAAACGGGUGGUAAUGCCGAAUGUGCCCUUCGGGGGAAAGAUUUAUCGCCUUUAGAGCGGCCCGCGUCUGAUUAGCUAGUUGGUGAGGUAAUGGCUCACCAAGGCGACUAUCAGUAGCUGGUCUGAGAGGAUGACCAGCCACACUGGGACUGAGACACGGCGCAGACUCCUACGGGAGGCAGCAGUGGGGAAUCUUGCGCAAUGGGCGAAAGCCUGACGCAGCCAUGCCGCGUGAAUGAUGAAGGUCUUAGGAUUGUGAAAUUCUUUCACCGGGGACGAUAAUGACGGUACCCGGAGAAGAAGCCCCGGCUAACUUCGUGCCAGCAGCCGCCGCCG
This 449-nucleotide ribosomal RNA is filed under the name uncultured bacterium. RNAcentral's name for it is "partial 16S ribosomal RNA". It matches the Rfam family "Bacterial small subunit ribosomal RNA", at positions 29 to 523 of the family's 1533-position model. The record is from RNAcentral.